CAGCAGCCACGGGAAUACGGAGGGUGCAAGCGUUAAUCGGAAUUACUGGGCGUAAGCGCACGCAGGCGGUUUGUUAAGUCAGAUGUGAAAUCCCCGAGCUUAACUUGGGAACUGCAUUUGAAACUGGCAAGCUAGAGUCUUGUAGAGGGGGGUAGAAUUCCAGGUGUAGCGGUGAAAUGCGUAGAGAUCUGGAGGAAUACCGGUGGCGAAGGCGGCCCCCUGGACAAAGACUGACGCUCAGGUGCGAAAGCGUGGGGAGCAAACAGGAUUAGAUACCCCAGUAGUCCCUGUCUCUUAUACA
This 301-nucleotide ribosomal RNA is filed under the name uncultured bacterium. Its description in RNAcentral is "partial 16S ribosomal RNA". It matches the Rfam family "Bacterial small subunit ribosomal RNA", at positions 509 to 808 of the family's 1533-position model. The record is from RNAcentral.